Long non-coding RNA from Magnolia sinica, 2334 nucleotides. RefSeq lists it as uncharacterized. The transcript is spliced from 8 exons. The record is from RefSeq and is a predicted model, not a curated record. NCBI's taxonomy places the organism in Eukaryota, Viridiplantae, Streptophyta, Magnoliopsida, Magnoliales, Magnoliaceae.
UUUUUUUCAAAUUUAUAACAAUAAUUUCUAGUUCACAAGAGCAUGUUACCAGUACCCAAACACAGAAAACUGUUUACUAAAUAAACACUUUACCAGUUAGUCAAACAUUAUAGAAUGAAGCAGAUCACCUUAGAAACUCAAAGAGUUUAUAUGUGGGAUUCAAGAAACAUCCAAACAACUCCAAAGCUUUUCAUUCUGCCACUAAUGUUUAGUAACCUGGAUUUUCAAUCUAUGAAAUCUAGAAACUCUCUUGGAAAACUGGAUUUAGAGGUGUGGAGAAGGCAUGUACUGCUCUCCAUAAGUAACCAUUUUGGAAAAUGUAACUGCUAAAGAAGAUUUCAAAUCCUUGCAAGCUAAGCUUUUAGAAAAGAGUUGAGAAGUUUGGCAAACACAAUAUCUUGGCCUGCAUCCAGAUUUCAAUUCCAAAUGCCCCAAAAUCCAAGUUGCCAAACAAUCCCUAAAUUUAUACUAGGGCAAUCAAGGCGUCCCACCACAAGAUAGACCUAGAUUUCAUUUCUUUCAACAAGUCAACAUACGGCCUAAUCACUAUGAUAGAGAACUGAGACUCAAAAUCUAGAGGCCAGGGGUAGAUUGGUGUUCAAUAGGCAAUUUCAACUAAGAUAUGGACCGAGUUUUCAAAACGAUGUUUUCGAAUUUCACAGGAAAAAAAAAUAGUUUCAGCAAUAUUAAAAGAAAUGGCCAUAAUAAAGUGCAAUAAAAAUUGUUGAAAAGUUAGGAAAAAUUGAUAGAACCAACCAAGAGAAAAUCAAGCAUGAUUUUAGGGAAAAAAUGUACUUAAUGGAAAUUUUGAUUUACUUUAUGGUAAUCAUCCAAUUUUCUUUUCUGAAAAUUCCUCCAAUAGAAUGGUUAGGAUUGUCAACUCGGUGAUUUUUGGCAUAUGGUUCUUCCAUAGUGUACAUGAUUAUUGUUUUGAAGCUUAUACACAUUUGCCAUAUGUAUUAAGAGCCAGUCACUGAUAUAUCAAGUGAAAGGAAGUGACAAAAACCAUAGUCUAGGCAGAUCUGUUUUUGUCUCUAAUGCAUUCGUGCAAAUUUGAUUAAUUUACAGUUUAUAGUUAAUCCAACAGCUCUGUCCAUGUUAAGUGAAAGGAAGUGACAAACCAUAGUCUAUGCAAAUUUGCUUUUCUUCACUUAUGUAUUCGUCCGAAUUUGGUUUGACUUCUAAAGUUUAUAGCUAAUCUGCACCAUUGGACGUUGAGUGCUUUAUGCUAGUUCCCUAUGAGUUAUGCUCAAUCAUUGUUAUUAGGUUUCUUGAUUAAAAUCAAGGAGUUUUAUUUCCCUAUGAAUGAAAGUACAUGUGUAGCUAUAAUCUUGGGCCUUGGAUUAAAUGUUGUGUUUUAUCUUUUGAACAGGUUUCAUUUGAUUUGACAGAGUAUUUGGAACAGCAUCCAGAAGCAUCUAAGUGCGGGAUUGGGAUCUCUAGUUUUAGAAAAAAUGCCUUGUUUCAAGAUUACCAUGGACUCAAAACUUUCAGACAGACACGAGAGAAGGUUUGCUGGUUCCAACUCCAUAUUAUCCAGGGUGUUGUGUACUUGUUUCCCAUGACUCAUGCAUAUAAGAUGCAAAGAGUAUUCCCUACAAAAAUAUGCAUGAUUCUGCCCUUGGAUGUGUUGCUAGAGGUAGCUGUGGUGCAGUUUCUUUUGCAACAUGCCCUGCAGAUGGCACUAUCAGGUUAUGGGAUAUAGCUUUGUAGUCUGAUUUAGAGAUAAAGAAUGUUGGACUUGAAAUCCCCAUGAACUAACAACCCAAUUCUCUGAACAGUGACCAAGCAGGCACCAUAGGUAUAGUGACUUCAAAACUACAUUGUCAUCAUGCAAAUCCAUGGCUCAUUUCUCAGACUGUUAUAAGGUGUUUGUACAAUUUAGGAGCUGACUCUCAUAUGGCUUUUACCGGUGGUCACAAAACUGCUGGAGGUUUAACAUCCAGAUACCUUCCAUAAUAAAAGGAUCAAUAUCAAUAUUAUCCAAUGCAGGCUUGGGAAUGGCAAUAUUCAGUCCAAAUCCUAGCAUGUGGAAGAUCUGUAGCGGCAUUUUCAAUGGCUGUUAGAUUUCUAUAACGGGCCCAGCAGUAAUCGCAGCCACUUCGAUGGCCAUAGGCCUUUGUGGGGUACUGUUGCACCUUGUCACUGUUCAGGAUUUGAUCAAUUGUGCCUAAAUUUAGGCCCACAAGUACAUGAGCCUUUUGACGCCACUCAUGCUAGGAGUGGACAACGUGACAAUUUUUUUUUAGUGUAUUGAAGAACAUUUUCAAGUUAUUGUCAUAAAUAUUAUCAUUUUUUAGUUGUGAAGUAAUAUAUUUAUUUGUUUAAUUUUCA